RNAcentral lists this small RNA (585 nucleotides) under Pan troglodytes (chimpanzee). RNAcentral describes it as "retained intron". The record is from RNAcentral. RNAcentral also lists the same sequence under 1 other name. Lineage: Eukaryota; Metazoa; Chordata; Mammalia; Primates; Hominidae.
UUUUCCAGUGAUCAGGAACCUCCCUAUUCAAUGAUAACAUUACACGAAAUGGCAGAAACAGAUGAAGGAUGGUUGGAUGUUGUCCAGUCUUUAAUUAGAGUUAUUCCACUGGAAGAUCCACUGGGACCAGCUGUUAUAACAUUGUUACUAGAUGAAUGUCCAUUGCCCACUAAAGAUGCACUCCAGAAAUUGACUGAAAUUCUCAAUUUAAAUGGAGAAGUAGCUUGCCAGGACUCAAGCCAUCCUGCCAAACACAGGAACACAUCUGCAGUCCUAGGCUGCUUGGCCGAGAAACUAGCAGGUCCUGCAAGUAUAGGUUUACUUAGCCCAGGAAUACUGGAAUAUUUGCUACAGUGUCUGGUGAAAAUAAAUUGACUAUUUCUGAAUCCAGUAUUAGUGACCGGCUUGUCACAUUGGAGUCCUGGGCUAAUGAUCCUGAUUAUCUGAAACGUCAAGUUGGUUUCUGUGCCCAGUGGAGCUUAGACAAUCUCUUUUUAAAAGAAGGUAGACAGCUGACCUAUGAGAAAGUGAACUUGAGUAGCAUUAGGGCCAUGCUGAAUAGCAAUGAUGUCAGCGAGUACCUGA